GGAAUCUUGCGCAAUGGGCGAAAGCCUGACGCAGCAACGCCGCGUGCGGGAAGAAGGCUUUCGGGCUGUAAACCGCUUUCAGUAGGAACGAAACUGACGGUACCUACAGAAGAAGGAGCGGCCAACUAUGUGCCAGCAGCCGCGGUGACACAUAGGCUCCAAGCGUUGUCCGGAUUUAUUGGGCGUAAAGAGCUCGUAGGCGGUUGAGUAAGUCGGGUGUGAAAACUUUGGGCUUAACCCAAAGAUGCCACUCGAUACUGCUUUGACUUGAGUUCGGUAGGGGAGUGGGGAAUUCCUUGUGUAGCGGUGAAAUGCGCAGAUAUAAGGAGGAACACCGGUGGCGAAGGCGCCACUCCGGGCCGAUACUGACGCUGAGGAGCGAAAGCGUGGGGAGCAAACAGGAUUAGAUACCCUGGUAGUCCACGCGGUAAACGGUGGUCACUAGGUGUGGGUCUCUUCAAACGAGAUCUGCGCCGUCGCUAACGCAUUAAGUGACCCGCCUGGGGAGUACGGUCGCAAGACUAAAACUCAAAUGAAUUGACGG
RNAcentral lists this ribosomal RNA (544 nucleotides) under uncultured bacterium. RNAcentral's name for it is "bacterial SSU rRNA". It matches the Rfam family "Bacterial small subunit ribosomal RNA", at positions 358 to 916 of the family's 1533-position model. The record is from RNAcentral.